CCCUUAGAUGUUCUGGGCCGCACGCGCGCUACACUGAUGCAUUCAACGAGUUUUACCUUGGCCGAGAGGCCUGGGCAAUCUUUUAAACCUGCAUCGUGAUAGGGAUAGAUUAUUGCAAUUAUUAAUCUUGAACGAGGAAUUCCUAGUAAACGCAAAUCAUCAAUUUGCAUUGAUUACGUCCCUGCCCUUUGUACACACCGCCCGUCGCACCUACCGAUUGAAUGGUCCGGUGAAAUCUUCGGAUUGAGACUUUGAUUUCUUCACGGAAAACGCUGUUUUAAGAAGUUGAUUAAACCUUACCAUUUAGAGGAAGGUGAAGUCGUAACA
Molecule: ribosomal RNA, 327 nt
Filed under: uncultured eukaryote
Lineage: Eukaryota
Description: partial 18S ribosomal RNA
Rfam family: Eukaryotic small subunit ribosomal RNA
Source: RNAcentral